AUGGCGGAGCUCUGUCUGCGUGAAGAGGAACUAGAUGACGUGAUCUACGAUGAGAAGGAGGCACCACCAGAUUCGGCCAGAUGGGUCGCGGUAGCACGGGUGCAUAUCAAGAAAUCGUAUAGUCAGUAUUGGUUCUUCAAGAACAUGCGCGCUGCUUGGGACCUUGCACAAGAUUGCAAGUUUCGUCCAUUGGAGGACAAUCUGUACACGGUGCAAUUUUUUUGCUUGGGAGAUUGGGAACGGGUCAUGCAGGAGGGCCCUUGGAAUUUCCAUGGGUACGCAGUGAUCCUUGCUCCGUAUGACGGCAUCACACAACCCUCGAUGGUCCCGUUGGAUACUCUUGAUAUAUGGAUU
Molecule: ribosomal RNA, 354 nt
Filed under: Triticum aestivum (bread wheat)
Lineage: Eukaryota; Viridiplantae; Streptophyta; Magnoliopsida; Poales; Poaceae
Description: partial small subunit ribosomal RNA
Source: RNAcentral